CUUUUUUCCCCGUGAUUAUAGUAUUCAGCAAGGCUCCAGCAACCCUUUCUGAUUGUGAGCAAAAUUCCAACCUCUUCUCGCUCUUGUGGGGUUAAUUUUUUAUUUUGUUUUCAAGAUAAUGGCGGAAUUUCACUUUGAUGAGAUAAUCAAGGUGCUCAAGAUAGGUAGCCAAGUCGUUUACACAAAGUUUCACGAAUAAAUGCGGAAGGCGAAGAGGGUGAUUCGUCUUUGGAAUUAGAUGUGCACAAUGAGCUAUAUCCUAUGCUUCCUGGUGAAAAAUAUAGGAUGGUGAAUGACAAAACUCUGAAUGUGGAUGGUUCGGCUGUCGAUGGCUACUUCCCUGAGGGGAAAUAGAAAACACUUGCAGACAAGUUUUAGUAUGUCAUGCAUGGGCUUUUGUAUAAGAUGUCAGAAGCUAAAGAAAAGACAGAUGGCGGAGAUGAUGUUAAAGUGUAUAUAUAUGCACCUUUUGAUUAAUGAAAUUUGUUCAUAUUAUUCAGUGAUUGUGUUAUGUCAACAAGCUGGAGAAAUAUUUAGAAAAUAGGGCCUCGUUUUCAUCAAAGGAACUUAUACUUAUGUGUCAUCUGACGUUCUUACUGCUUCUUCAGCGAAACACUCUAUUUGGAUCUUAUUCAUUGAUAUUGGGACUUUCAUUU
This is a non-coding RNA of Sesamum indicum (sesame), 656 nucleotides long. Lineage: Eukaryota; Viridiplantae; Streptophyta; Magnoliopsida; Lamiales; Pedaliaceae. The record is from RefSeq and is a predicted model, not a curated record.